Vulpes vulpes (red fox) is the source of this 742-nucleotide long non-coding RNA. The record is from Ensembl. NCBI's taxonomy places the organism in Eukaryota, Metazoa, Chordata, Mammalia, Carnivora, Canidae.
AAAAAAAAAAAAAAAGGGAAGAGGAAAGAACGUACAAAUGCAGUGCUGAUAUCUUUUGAUUGGAUCAUUGUGAAGAUGAGCACGCUGGAGUGCCUUGCUCAUGGUCACACAGAAGAGGCUUGUACUUGCCCCAACAUGGACAAGAAGCCAGUGCCAGCGGUGGGACCAGAAGCUGCCAUGCCCCAGCACAGGAGGAAGAAGCUCACUGCAUCCAGGCACAUCUGCAUCAAAAUCUGUGCUGAAGAGCCCACAUGGGGGUGGAGUCUCUAUGGCAAAAAAGCCCUUCCUGCAUUUUGGCAGUUACACAGGCUUUCUGAGAAGAUGGGGUAUUUUUCACUAGACUAUGAUCAUCAGUGGACCUCUAUCUUCUCUAUCUUGUUUUAUCUGAGAUUAUUCUGAGUUUCUGAUAAAAGUUAUGGGCCCUGUUUCUGAAAACAUACACACAAGAAACAAUACUCUGCUUAUACGUUUGGAAAGUGGGGGAGGUCACAGACCCCAGAAGCCCAUUCUUCAGUUGAGAAUCCCUGACCUAAAGAAGGAUCUUAUCUUUUGAUAAGACCUUCUUCCUUGGGCAGCCUGGGUGGCUCAGCGGUUUAGCAUCUGCCUUUGGCCCAGGGUGUGAUCCUGGAGACCUGGGAUCAAGUCUCCCUGCAUAGAGCCUGUUUCUCCCUCUGUCUGUGUCUCUGCCUCUCUCCCUCUCUCUCUGAAUAAAUAAAAAAUAAUAAUCUUAAAAAAAAGACCU